Molecule: ribosomal RNA, 253 nt
Filed under: uncultured bacterium
Lineage: Bacteria
Description: partial 16S ribosomal RNA
Rfam family: Bacterial small subunit ribosomal RNA
Source: RNAcentral
UACGGGGGGGGCAAGCGUUGUUCGGAAUUACUGGGCGUAAAGGGCUCGUAGGCGGCCAACUAAGUCGGAUGUGAAAUCCCCAAGCUUAACUUGGGAACUGCAUCCGAUACUGGAUGGCUUGAAUCCGGGAGAGGGGUGCAGAAUUCCAGGUGUAGCGGUGAAAUGCGUAGAUAUCUGGAGGAAUACCGGUGGCGAAGGCGGCAUCCUGGACCGGCAUUGACGCUGAGGAGCGAAAGCUAGGGGAGCAAACGGG